GGUUUGGAUUCAAACCAGCAGCCUGAAGAGGCUCUGUAGCCCCUUACUCAUCACCUGAGCUCUCUUGUCCACCUUGCUCUCCUCCCCGCUGGGUUUCCUUUCAGCCAUUUAAGAAAAGGUUGAUGCUACUCCAGCCAGAGCUUCUCCCAUUGGGAGCUGCUGCAAACACUGUUGGAGCGCUCCUAUCCAGCUCUGCUUUCAAUCUCAGGCAGCCCUGAGUAACCAUCUCUCUGGGAAUUGCACCCCAGCAUACUGCAAUGGCACCGCCAGCAGUGCCCGAGUCCGAGCCUGCAGGCCGAAGCCACGACACAGACGAGGAGCCGGGAGGUAUGUUUUAAAUACUUUUAUUUCUUAAUUUACAUAAAGGUAUAGAUUUGGCUUUAUUUCUCUUUAUACUCUGAGAUUGACAAUCGGUUGCUCUUAAAAAAUAAAAUAGCCAUUUGCUUCUGAAAGAAAUCAGAAAACUAUUUUAUACUCCUGCCUUGUAUAACAAGAAAACCUACGAUAUACUCCCAUACAUCACAUAGUAAAAGUGAUUGCAAGUGCUGGUUUACAAAACAAUAAAGCAAAUAGAGAAGAAACCAAAUAACUAGGGUGUGGGGGAAAGUGAGACAACCUUAGUGUUCCAGUCUACAUAGAGUUUAUUUAUGUCUCCAUCACUAGUUUGUCUCACCCUGAGGUUCGACUGAGAUUAGAGGAUGCUGGCCCCGUACUUCAAGCUUCACUCAGCUGAAGAAACAAGCAGAGAGGUAGUGACUUGCCUGCAGUCCAAGUGGCAGAGCUGGGCCUGGACCCCCACUUUUCCUGUCGACAGGAAUAUGCAGCCUCACAAGAGGGAGCGGGUACUAGCAGACACCCAGAAUGUUACAGCAGAAGGUAGGUUGUACCCGGCCGCCUCCUCUUUAGUGUUUUUCAAACCUCUCUUCUGAGAGUGGUUGGACAGCUUGACUUGACUUAGAGCUUUGUUAUUGCCUUGCCCCCUUUAUCCCAAUUAUCUGGUUUCUUUCUAAGAGAAUAAAUAUUUAAUAGAAGCUCUAAUAGAACAACGCUUGAAAAAUUCCGUCCCGGAAUAGAAAUAUGUAGCUACAAUUCAAAAAAUACCUUCAUCUCUUCAGGUGGCUGAACAUGGAUCACGGUCUGUAACGGGGAAGUGGCAGCCUCAGGAUGGGGGUUCCAAAUUCCCUGCUCCUUCCCCUCCCUUAGUUCUCAUGGCUCGCUACUCUACCUCCUUGGUGCCAGGUCUCUCCUCCUCCAAAUGGAGAAGAAUUCAAUCAGUGAAGGAUCAUUGGUGUGUGGGGGACUGGAACUAAUUCUCCAUUUGCUUACAGCGUGGCUGAACUGGGCCUUGUUUCAUAGGAAGUGAGGUCAGCCCUUCCUACCAAGGAGAUGAAGGUGUAUUUAUUGGCUCUCUUUCCAUUGCAAAUUGAUGGGAAUAAAAUCUCAGUAAACACCGAAGUCCUGCUCUUGAGGGUAAGUGCUGUAACUUUUAAGACAAAGCACUUGAAAUAAUAAUUUAGGAAAUUCAGCUAAUUUUCCCUUGGCCUCUGAGAUCAAGUGACUAAUUGUUGUUUAUGUUUUACAUAAAUUAACAGGGAACAUCUUAAUGAGAAGCACAAAAAUUCAUGUGCUCUAACUCAGGCCAUUGGCUGCCAGACUGCAGAGUUGACAUUUUCCCCGAGCAAUGUUAAUAACAGUCCAAGAUGGGAAAUGAAGCAUUGUUUUGAACUUGCUUUGGUUAUUAUUUUAGUGGCGCACAAGCGCAUUCGCCGCUCUCCUGGGGAUGGGCCAGGAGUGGGGCUUCUGUCUCCAAUUGUUUGCUCAGCCUAUAAGAAAUACUU
Molecule: long non-coding RNA, 1838 nt
Organism: Terrapene triunguis (Three-toed box turtle)
Lineage: Eukaryota; Metazoa; Chordata; Testudines; Emydidae
Exons: 2
Source: RefSeq, a predicted model, not a curated record